GACGAACGCUGGCGGCGUGCCUAAUACAUGCAAGUCGAACGCAGUGGGGACGGGUGAGUAACACGUGGGUAACCUCCCAUCAGAGGGGAUAACACUUGGAAACAGGUGCUAAACCGAUACUGAUGGAUGGACCCGCGGUGCAUUAGCUAGUUGGUGAGGUAACGGCUCACCUAGGCGACGAUCUCUAGCUGUUCUGAGAGUAUGAUCGGCCACAAUGGGACGGAGCAACGGCCCAGACUCCUACGGGAGGCAGCAGUAGGUAAUCUUCGGCAAUGGACGAAAGUCUGACCGAGCAACGCCGGGUGAGUGAAGAAGGUUUUCGGAUCGUAAAACUCUGUUGUUAGAGAAGCGGUAUCUAACCAGAAAGCCACGGCUAACUACGUGCCAGCAGCCGCGGUAAUAC
This 403-nucleotide ribosomal RNA is filed under the name uncultured bacterium. RNAcentral's name for it is "partial 16S ribosomal RNA". It matches the Rfam family "Bacterial small subunit ribosomal RNA", at positions 28 to 526 of the family's 1533-position model. The record is from RNAcentral.